CGUGUAGGCGGUCCGCUAAGUCUGAUGUGAAAGCCCGGGGCUCACCCCCGGAAGGGCAUUGGAAACUGACGGACUCGAGUCCCGAAGAGGAGGGUGGAAUUCCUGGUGUAGCGGUGAAAUGCGUAGAUAUCAGGAGGAACACCGGUGGCGAAGGCGGCCCUCUGGACGGUGACUGACGCUGAGACGCGAAAGCGUGGGGAGCAAACAGGAUUAGAUACCCUGGUAGUCCACGCUGUAAACGAUGAGCACUAGGUGUCGUGGGUAUUGACCCCCGCGGUGCCGUAGCUAACGCAUUAAGUGCUCCGCCUGGGGACUACGGCCGCAAGGUUAAA
RNAcentral lists this ribosomal RNA (332 nucleotides) under uncultured bacterium. RNAcentral's name for it is "bacterial SSU rRNA". It matches the Rfam family "Bacterial small subunit ribosomal RNA", at positions 568 to 898 of the family's 1533-position model. The record is from RNAcentral.